UACAGAGGUGGCAAGCGUUGUUCGGAAUUACUGGGCGUAAAGGGCGCGUAGGCGGUUCGAUAAGUCCCGUGUGAAAUCCCUCGGCUCAACUGAGGAACUGCACGGGAAACUGACGGGCUUGAGUUCGGGAGAGGGAAGCGGAAUUCCGGGUGUAGCGGUGAAAUGCGUAGAUAUCCGGAGGAACACCGGUGGCGAAGGCGGCUUCCUGGACCGACACUGACGCUGAGGCGCGAAAGCUAGGGGAGCGAAUGGG
This 253-nucleotide ribosomal RNA is filed under the name uncultured bacterium. RNAcentral describes it as "partial 16S ribosomal RNA". It matches the Rfam family "Bacterial small subunit ribosomal RNA", at positions 524 to 776 of the family's 1533-position model. The record is from RNAcentral.